ACUUGAAGCUGAUGAAGCAAAUGGUUAUAUAGAGAAAUAAUAAAACCACACUGAAGUAAGGAGUUAACGACUGGCUACCUGAACAACAAAGCAUCCAGUAUCCCUCUGUCUGUGUCUUCUCUUGGUGUUCCUUUUGUGCUGCUGCUUCCUUCCUAUGUUGUAAGCUCCUCAAACAGGCUUAUGCCUUCUUGGAUAUCUGUGUGGCCCCUUGUGGCUUUUGAAUGCUCCCUCAAUAGAAGAAAUUUCUCUUUCAUGAUGAAAGGCUUCACCACAGCUUCCAACAGCACCAGGAGCUGGGACUGUCCUGUUGCUAGGAGAAAGGCUCCUGAGGCAAAAGCACUCUAUGCUUCACCCCAGGCUGCCAGGACCAACUCAUGGGGAAAGACCACUUGCAAAGGAAACAAAAUACAGAGGAGGAAGGCUAACUGGGGUAAAGUCUAUUAAUCUGCAAAGUGUUUAUCUUCAUUGCUCUUCCUCUGACCAGUGCCUGGCUGGUGCUUUGCUGUCUCUCUUGCUCCACAUGCAGUGCAGGAUGCUCCUGAUCACCCACCCCAAUCAGGACACUGGUUUUUCUCUACUGCACUUGAAACUGCCUCUUGUCUCUUUGCAACAGGUGAAUGCAGCUCCUCUCAGCUCCUUUCAAAGCAGCAAAUGGCACAGCGUGCCUUUGACCCUUGACGUAUAUUAAAGAAAAGCCAAGAAAAGGUUGAUAGAGGGUGAAAGCUUGAUGAGACUGCAGUUUUGUCCUGUAGUAACCUUGCAACCAAAAGGAAGAAAUGUCAAUGGGAUGGGUGGAUUGCAAGGUAAGUGAAAGACCACUGGGACUGUUUGGCUUGAAGUCAGAGAAAGCAAGAAUUUGAGGUCUCACUAGUACCAGUGAAGACCAUGAAGGUGGCAAGGGGUCUUGAGCAUCUGAUAUAUAAAGAGAGGCUGAAGGAGCUAGGCUUGGUUGGCCUGGAGAAGAGAAGGCAAAGAAUGGUGCUAGAUACCGUUUUCCACUUCAUAACCAGGGUAAUGGAGAAGCCAAACCCCCAGCUCCUCCUUGAAGUACACAGAGGUGAAAGGAUAUGAAGCCAUUGUCACAAGCUGCAACAAGGUCAAUUGGGAUUUCAUAUUGGGCAUAUUCUUCAUCAUGGAAGGUCUAAAGCACCAAGGCAGCCCCUGGUGAGGCUGGGGAGGUGUGAAGAGCUUAGCUGGGGACAGAACCCAGCAACCAGCUCUUACUGCAGGAUUAGCCUGGGUUUGUGGCAAAGGUGACUUCUGUAAGUCCCUUCUAAGCUUGACUUUUCUAUGAUUUCUAUGACUCUGUUUACUUACAGAAUGAGUGAGCAAUUAAUUUAAAUUUUUACUCAAAGUCAGAUUUCAUGCUGUUUUGUACCAGUUUCAUGUGAUAAAAAAUGCAGAAGCAGAAAAGCUGGGUAGAGGUUAGCAGAGUGAAACCUUGGGAGAGGACAAGAAGAAAUACUAAGCUAUCAUAGAAUCAUAGAAUGUCUUGACUUGGAAGGGACCCACAAGGAUUAUUGAGUCCAGCUCCUGUCCCUGCAUAUGACAUAUGACACCCUCAAAAUUCACACCAUGUAUCUGACAGCAUUGUCUAGUCUCUUCUUGAACACUGUCAGGCUUGGGGCUGUGACACCUCCUGUUCCAGUGCUCCAGCACCCUCUGGGUGAAGAACCUUUUCCUGUCCAACCUAAACCUCCCCUGGCACAUCUUCCUGCCAUUCCCUCAGGAUCUGUUGCUGGUUGCCAGAGAGAAGAGUUCAGCGCCUGUCCCUGCUCCUCCCGUUGUGAGGAAGCUGUAGACUGCAAUGAGGUCUCCUCUUAGUCUCCUCUUCUCCAAGCUGAACAAACCAAGUGACUUUAGCCACUCCUCAUACAGCUUCCCCUCUAAACCUUUCAACAUUUCAUCUUCAUUUCAACUUUAAAUCACUGCUUUAAAAAUAUGUGUUGUCAGAUGUACUGGCUUGAUAUUUAAGCUUGUAAUAAUGAAAAAGUCUACCAUGAAGGGAGUGAGGAUUUUCCCUGUCCUGGAGACUUUACAGGUUGGCCUUAGGCAGGGAGAGAGCAGUGGGAUAGAGAAAAGUGGAAGGAAGGAGACGGUAAGACAGCAGUAAGCACAGAAAGGAGUUUCAGAAACCUAUAACUGUCAGGUUCUGUGAGUGUUAGGAGGAAGACAAGCCACAGGCGAGACUUGGGAGGGGCAGGAGUUGUGGUGGCUCCUUCAGAUGUGAAGCAGCAGUGCAAAGCACAGUGGUGCUUGACUGCAGGUUAUACACUUGGUCACGAGAAACCAGCAUCCUGGGCAAAGCAUAUCUGAUUUUGCCCAUCUGUGAUAAUUUGUUUAUGGUUUUCCCCCCAUAGUGACUACAUAUAGCUCCCCCCCUACCCCGGCUCUGACCUCUUGGCCAGCCUCUUGAUUCCAAAAUGUGAAAAUUCAUGCAUUUUGGAUGCACUUACACGUACAGUAACCACUGUUUUCCAGUGUUCAUAAAUCAAUGAUAUAUCACUAUUUUUCCUGCAUUUACAUUCAAUAACAUACCAUCUCCAGGAAAAGUUGUACUAGUUGAAGUAGCAGAGCUCUGGAGGAACCAAUGUCUCUUUAUGUAUUGGAUUUAUUGGAUAAUAAUUGAUUUGUGAGUCCAAAAGACACAUGCCCCACCUGUUAUUCAGGUGCCAAUCUUACAAAUGGAUCUUGUUUGUCUAGGUUGAGAGCUACACACAGGCUGAGCAGUUGAAUACACAUGGAUCAGACUGAAAGGUCUAGGCAAGAACGACAUUUUCUAUCAUUUUCUACUUUCAAACUUAGAGCAAAAGUCUAAACUGGAUCUACUUUAAAUCUCAAUAUGUCUGUUGAGUUCCCCAUUUCUGCAACAAUACAAUGGUCACAGGAUACAUUUAAGCAUUCAGUAAACACAACUGAAAAAAACCAAACACAAAUAAUCAGUAAAUGCCAGACUAACAUUUACUGUAUCCACUGACUUUUCCUAUUCAUGCUUUGAGUCAAUUUUAAUUCUUGAAGUGCUGUUGAAGAGAAAUCAAAACCAGAAAUAGGAAGGCAUAGACAUAACCUGAAUUUUUCAAUACAGCACCAUUAAACAAAAGGGAAACAAAAGCUGUCAUUCAAGGACUCUUCUGUUUGUUAAAGCAUACUACAUCUUUGAAAAUACAGUACAUUUUAGUGUCAGACUCUUAGUUUGAAAAGCUCCCUUUAAGUAAUGUUAUACUUGUCUUGUACAGCUAGAUCAAGUCUUCAUGCAAUCACUGUAACAAGCAACUUGCUAUGACAAGUGAGAUCCUUGCUUCCACAAAACAGUGUGAUAGAGGCUAAAGCAGUGUACAAUUAUAGGUCUCCAUUUCAUUUUAAUGCAAUUACCUUCAGUUCAGCUGUGGGUCUAUCUACAUUACGCUUUUUAUCAAUUUAAUGUUUGCACAAAGUGUCUAAAGAAAUAUAAUAAAGAUUAUGCUAGACCAGCAUUAAAAAAAAAAGGUGGUUAGCACUUUUUUCCUUUAUAGUUUGUUGCUGCAUGGAACAGUAGCAGGGUGAGAGUUUGGAAUAAAUAAGUGGACCCAAAUAGGCUUUAAAAAUAUGUUAUGCACAAAUGAUAUUAUUUAUUAUUAGUGUUAAAUGAGAAUGUAAAAAUAAAAUACAAUUAGAGAAGGGCAGGAGUGUCAACUUUGUUAGUCUUUUAAGAGCCUGUGUUCAGCUUUAGAUAUUCACAAAUGUCUAUGUUUUUAAUAUGUAGAAAUCAUCCACUGAAGUAAAUUAAAAGGGAAAAUAGUAAGUGUAUCAUGAUGAAGGAAGCUCAGAUUACCCAGUGUUAGACUGUUAGGCAAAGGUAAACUCCCACAGUGUGCCAUUUUUAAACAGUACCAUGAAGAAGCAACUUUCUUCCCCAUAUGGGCAAGCUGGGGCUUGCCUUGGCUGUUGCAGUGGAAGACUGGGAUCAUUCACCUAUGUUUGUAUUAAAGAUAGAGGUAGUCUCAAUAAUGACACAAAAUUCCUAGUUUUUUUAAAGUUAGGUGAUUCAGGCAGCUGACUAUAGUGUAUAAUGCAAGAAAGCACAAAGUAAAUCAUUUACUUUCCACUGAUGCCAGCCCCAGAUCCCUCUGGAUAAUAGUGAGGAGCAGCAAUACCGAGACCGACAUUUACAGUAGGUUCCCUGACCUCUUUUUCUCUUCAUUGGCUUAGGCACAAACCAGGGUCUUGCAGCCUUGGAGAAUGGGAAGUUGAAGUUUCCUAUCAUGCUUUUAUAUAGCUUUUAUAUAAUGACAUAUAAGGACCCUAAGUCUGCUUUUGGCAAGGGACAGGGGAGACAAGAGGUACUCUGUUCUGCUGUAUGGGGGCUGCAGCAAAAUGGGUAAUGACAAAGAGCUCUUUGGAGCAACUGGUUAGGGGGAGUUGCCACUGAAAGAGAAGGAGAACUGAUCUAUCACCCUAUGUAGGGCUCAUACGCAUCUUAUAAGCAAAGGACAAGGGAGCCUGUGGCUCUACUCACUGGUGGCAUUUGCUCCCAAUCCAUUCCGGCAGUGGCCCUUUGCCUCAGACCCCUGCGGCAAAGAGUCCAUAGGGUUAAUGGUGAACUGUGUGGAAACCUCUAGCAGUUUAGGAUGUGUAACUUUUUAAUUUCACCGUGAGGCAUCUUUGCGUAUCAGUGCAGUGAGACAACCAAAGGAACUCCUGGCUGAUCGUCCUGCCAUUCAUUAUCCCAUGCAAUGCUGUCACUCCCUGUCUAUUUAAUAUAUCACGUACUCAUCACUGAAAGGGCUGUGUGCCACGUCCAUUCAGUCCUGAGAUGAAGCAGGCAGAGCUACAUCAGAACUGAUGGAUGAUAACUUCUAAGUAUAAAGCCUUGAAAUGAACUCGCUUGGUUUGAAAAGAUUCAUGCUAUACCCAAACCCCAGGUUUUGAUGGCCAUGUUUCAAAAAUGAAAAAGAAAAAAGAAAAAGUAAAAAGUAAAAAGAAAAACAGAAUGCUAUCUCUUGCCAGUCUAAAGGACAUAAUUCAUUUGCUAUCAGCAAUGGGAGGGGAUGCUAGGGCUAUCUCUGCAUGGUGUGACACAUGUAUGGGGCCAGCAGCUUACCUGAAUGUUCCUCACUGCUCAGCGUCACCUUGGGAAGCGCCGGGAGGUGCAGGGAGCUGGUGCAGCUGUCUUGGUGGAAAAAACGAGACAACAUUGCAGAGGGACACUAUAAAUAAAUGCGGCUUGGCACAUGUAUAUCCCCCAACCACCUGGUGACAGUCAUUGUCUUCAGGAGUUGUUGCUUUGGGGGCAAAUAGAAACAAGCGUGAUACCUUGCAAGGGGAGCUUACAUGGGAUGUUGCACAGUUUCUGUUACUCCCUGCCUCAUUUGUGGAAAGGAAACCACAAGAAAAAUUCGCUAAGAGAGAAAGUUUCUUCUGGGAAGAGGAUCACUGGCAAACAUUGAUGUUCCUGUCUCAGGUAGGUGCAGAAAACUUGGGGGCAGGGAGGUCUGUGAUGAAAUGCGGGGCAUCAUCCAUGUCCAAACACCCCAGAAACCUUAGAUGAGGUUCCCAAACCAUUAGCAAAGGAGGAGAGAGGGAAUCGCACCCCCAAACUCCAACUUCUAUGGUUUAGUCUUCAUUACGGACAAGAUGCCCAAGGUACUUGCGGUGGCAAGCCCAGGUCCCCAUGUGGGUGCUGAGCUGCCAUCCAUUCCCUGCAGAGGACUUGGAGGCUUAAAUCUCCCUUCUCUCUCCUAGCGCCAGGGAGGAAAAGUAGGAGGUGGGAGUGUGGGACUGUCCCUACAGUGAGUGCAGCAGAAGAAAAAAACUCCAGAGGAACUGCUCUCAUCCAGGUAGGAGAGGCCAGAGGGAGAAUGGGUGUCACGGUCAACUGAAAGCAACCUACUUGAGACUCAUAUAUCAUGGGUGUUUUCAUAGUUUUGUGCCCAUUACAUUUUGCUGAGCUCAGGUGUAAGGAUACGGGGGAUUUAGAGACUGUUUAUUUUUGUCAUAUGGAAACAGGAAAUAGUACACAAGGCCAUAAAUAUAUUUUGGUUUUCAUAUGACAUCAUAAACCUGUGCAAGUGCUUCUCUUCUGAUUUAUGAUGAUGGACUGGUAAUUCACAGGAGCUUUGGGUUUACUUUUUUUUUUGCUGUUGCAGUAACAAAGUUAAUGGUGCGAUCCCUGGAGGGGGUAUUUUAUCAAUAGUGAAUUUUUGACCUCAUUGCACACAUUUUAACUUCAUGAAUUAGUGACCCAGCUGACUGUAAAGCCUUCUAUAGGCUUAUUAUAAAUCUAUCACAGGACUGGCAAAAAAAUUUGGCCCGGAUCCUAAACUCUGACAGGCAUGUGUUGAUGGACUGCAUAGCAAGCACUUCCACUAAUAUUUCUCACUAAUUAUACCAUAUAUUUUUAAAAAAAUGAAUGAAGCCAAUGUUUAUAUGCAGCUUUAACUGCUUUUGAUAUAAGAAAGCAACACAAUCCCUAAUAAAUUUUCACCUUCAACAUUUCUAUUCAUUAUAAUUUUUACCAUGAUGAAUGAAGUUAGAACUGAAAGGGGGGGUUCAUCUUGAAAUCUGUUCAGUGAAUGACUGAAUUUUCUUCCCUUGCCCAACUUGCGUUGAGGAAGGAGGGAACAGAUGGACACAGGAAGAAGAGGGAGGCGAGUGCGGAAUGAAGGAGAUGGGUGAGGAACAGAUGGAGUUGGGGGAAAGCGAACAGGAUAAUCAGCAAGGAUGGUAGGAAAGCUUUGCACUUGACCUUGAGUUGAAAUGAAAAUCUGCAUAGACCAUGGGACAUCUAGAUUUUGCUUUGUGAUGCAUCCUUUUUUCUCUCUGUGGCACCUAUGCCUUAAGUCUUGUGGGCCAUCCCAGUAGUCCAUUCCAUCCCAGGGUGUCUGCAGAACCAGAAACUAGAUUUUUUUUUUUGAGUGGCCAGCUGCUGCAAGAGGGCAUCUGCACUGUCUUCAAGCCCCAUAGGUAAUCACAGGGGAGAAAUGAAUGCAAAGAUCGUGCUAAAAUGGGUUGGGAUGUGGCAAGUCUCCCAGGCAUUCAGCCAACCCAGAAACUGGAGCUUAUGAUUUCAAAGAGGUGUCCUACACCCUGUUUGUUAGGAUCCAAUGGCCAAAAUAAUCAAAGUGAUUUAUGGUUUUACCUGCUUAAAGUAAGACAUUUGAGAUGGCCUGGUUUUCAGAAUAUGCUGAGCAUCUGCACUUUGAGGUGUAUUGAAUUAUAUAGCCCAAAUCACUGGCAAGUCCUGGAAAAUCUUGAUUAUAUUCUUAAUUCUAUUAAAUCGCCUGCAUGUAGUCCAUUGGUUCUGGGUUUGCUAGCUGAAGAAUGGAAGAGGUGAAAGUUAAAUAUUGGCCAUGUGUGUCAUUCCCUUUGAAGAAAAUGGGAGCCAUGUGCACUCACCUAACAACGAAGUUUGGCCCCAACUAUGAUUUCACAGCUGGGCCUUGACUUCAGGAAUGCCAAAGCACUAAAUGACUCAAUUGGAGUAACUUGAUCAAUGCUGUAUUUUCACUGUGGAUUUAAAUUGCACACACAGCAAGAGCAGAGUUAGUUUUCUUCUCCCUCAAAAUCACUUUUCUCUGCAGAUUUGAUAGCAUAAAUAUGAAGUUUUGCUCUCAUCACACAAAUAAGUGAAAUGGCAGAAAACGUAUGUCAAAUAAAAUGCACAACAUUAAGUCCUUUUUACUUUUUGGAGGCUGUUUAAGAAAAUGGCUUCAUUAAUUUUGACUGAAUAAAAGGUUUCUUUAAGGGAUUUCAAUAGAUGACAUGAAAAAUGUUAAUAUGAAUGAUCAAGACAAUGGAGGUUAAAACUGUUUUGAAAAUAUGUUUCUUUUAUGGAUCUCAGCUGUUGGAAGAGUUACAGAAUAAAUAUAAGGUAGUGCUGACAUUCAGUGCUGUUUCAUCUUAGCAAAAGAGUUUUUAAUAAAGAAAAUUCUUUUCAAGGAAUGCUUUCUGCAGCCAGUCUUCAAAAAGAGGUUUUCCCCCCUCCUAGUUUAAUAAAAUUAAAGUAAUUUAUGUCAUAUUGAUAUGUCGAUAUGUUUUUCAAUAAACUUUUUCGCAGAG
Molecule: long non-coding RNA, 8037 nt
Organism: Columba livia (rock pigeon)
Lineage: Eukaryota; Metazoa; Chordata; Aves; Columbiformes; Columbidae
Exons: 2
Source: RefSeq, a predicted model, not a curated record